RNAcentral lists this long non-coding RNA (341 nucleotides) under Hordeum vulgare. RNAcentral's name for it is "long non-coding RNA (HVUL_LNC019161)". The record is from RNAcentral. Lineage: Eukaryota; Viridiplantae; Streptophyta; Magnoliopsida; Poales; Poaceae.
AGAGGGAAGAGAUGCAGAGGCAGCAGGACGGCUCGGGACAGGGUCAAAUGGAGAGUGUCAAACGGUGAGCUCGAGAGCUCUCGGAGCUGUCUGGCAUGCAAGAAGACACGCCCCAGGGGCGGUUUGGAAGCAUUCCACCGUCGGGUAGAGCUUGGACCACUCAAGGGGAGUGUCCUGGCCCGCUGGGACACGCGGCCAUCGAUGGACCCGAGUUGCAGCAAAAGAAAAGGAUUCACAGCAUCGUUAUUGCAUGCUGCCAGCAUGGUCACCAUGGCCACUCAUGUCCACAGUGCUGCUAUGACUGGUCAAUCAUGUCCAACACGUAGGGCACACAUGCAGGA